This 242-nucleotide unclassified non-coding RNA is filed under the name Hevea brasiliensis (rubber tree). The record is from RNAcentral. Lineage: Eukaryota; Viridiplantae; Streptophyta; Magnoliopsida; Malpighiales; Euphorbiaceae.
AUGAGUCCCAUGGUGAUCCAUGGAACUUCGACGGGUUGUCUGAAUGUGAAUUUAUUCAUCUUUCCUGCUUUUAUGAGUAUUGAUGGAUCACUUGAGCGCAUACAUUGGGGUUCAUCAUGUUGGCUUUUGGGGGUUUGGUUGUAAAUUGAAGUUGAGGCAGUCCAUUCUUUCAGUUUAUGAAUCUAGCUGGAGUUCUGAUCAGACUGCUUCGUAACUGCUGCCGUAUUGUAGGUGAAGUUUAU